RNAcentral lists this ribosomal RNA (266 nucleotides) under uncultured bacterium. RNAcentral describes it as "partial 16S ribosomal RNA". It matches the Rfam family "Bacterial small subunit ribosomal RNA", at positions 793 to 1055 of the family's 1533-position model. The record is from RNAcentral.
GUCCACGCCGUAAACGAUGGAUGCUAGCCGUCGGCAAGCUUGCUUGUCGGUGGCGCAGCUAACGCAUUAAGCAUCCCGCCUGGGGAGUACGGCCGCAAGGUUAAAACUCAAAGGAAUUGACGGGGGGCCCCGCACAAGCGGUGGAGCAUGUGGUUUAAUUCGACGCAACGCGAAGAACCUUACCAAGCCUUGACAUGUCCGGACAGUUUCCUGAAAGGGAAUCCUCCUAGCAAUAGGUCGGAACACAGGUGCUGCAUGGCUGUCGU